CGUACGGGUGAGUAAUGCAUCGGAAUGUACCGUGUAAUGGGGGAUAGCUCGGCGAAAGCCGGAUUAAUACCGCAUACGCCCUGAGGGGGAAAGCGGGGGACCGAAAGGCCUCGCGUUAUACGAGCAGCCGAUGUCUGAUUAGCUAGUUGGUGAGGUAAGAGCUCACCAAGGCGACGAUCAGUAGCGGGUCUGAGAGGAUGAUCCGCCACACUGGGACUGAGACACGGCCCAGACUCCUACGGGAGGCAGCAGUGGGGAAUUUUGGACAAUGGGCGCAAGCCUGAUCCAGCCAUGCCGCGUGUCUGAAGAAGGCCUUCGGGUUGUAAAGGACUUUUGUUCGGGAGGAAAUCCCCGCUGGUUAAUACCUGGCGGGGGAUGACAGUAC
This 385-nucleotide ribosomal RNA is filed under the name Chromobacterium sp. 52. RNAcentral describes it as "bacterial SSU rRNA". It matches the Rfam family "Bacterial small subunit ribosomal RNA", at positions 99 to 478 of the family's 1533-position model. The record is from RNAcentral. Lineage: Bacteria; Pseudomonadati; Pseudomonadota; Betaproteobacteria; Neisseriales; Chromobacteriaceae.